Molecule: ribosomal RNA, 511 nt
Filed under: Micromonospora sp.
Lineage: Bacteria; Bacillati; Actinomycetota; Actinomycetes; Micromonosporales; Micromonosporaceae
Description: bacterial SSU rRNA
Rfam family: Bacterial small subunit ribosomal RNA
Source: RNAcentral
ACACGGCCCAGAUUCUACGGGAAGCAGGCAGUGGGGAUUAUUGCACAAUGGGGCGGAAGCCUGAAUGCAGCGACCGCCGCGUGAAGGGAUGACGCCCUUCGGGGUGGUUAACCUCUUUCAAGCAGGGACGAAGCGUAAGUGACGGUACCUGCAGAAGAAGCGCCGGCCAAACUACGUGCCAGCAGCCGCGGUAAGACGUAGGGCGCGAGCGUUGUCCGGAUUUAUUGGGCGUAAAGAGCUCGUAGGCGGCUUGUCGCGUCGACCGUGAAAACUUGGGGCUCAACCCCAAGCCUGCGGUCGAUACGGGCAGGCUAGAGUUCGGUAGGGGAGACUGGAAUUCCUGGUGUAGCGGUGAAAUGCGCAGAUAUCAGGAGGAACACCGGUGGCGAAGGCGGGUCUCUGGGCCGAUACUGACGCUGAGGAGCGAAAGCGUGGGGAGCGAACAGGAUUAGAUACCCUGGUAGUCCACGCUGUAAACGUUGGGCGCUAGGUGUGGGGGGCCUUCCGGUAC